GACGAACCACACAAACGUUAUUCGGAAUUACUGGGCUUAAAGGGUGCGUAGGCUGUGCGGAAAGUUGGGUGUGAAAGCCCCCGGCUCAACCGGGGAAUUGCGCCCAAAACUACCGUGCUUGAGGAAGACAGAGGUGAGCGGAACUUCGGGUGGAGCGGUGAAAUGCGUUGAUAUCCGAAGGAACACCGGUGGCGAAAGCGGCUCACUGGGUCUUUUCUGACGCUGAUGCACGAAAGCUAGGGGAGCAAACGGG
Molecule: ribosomal RNA, 253 nt
Filed under: uncultured bacterium
Lineage: Bacteria
Description: partial 16S ribosomal RNA
Rfam family: Bacterial small subunit ribosomal RNA
Source: RNAcentral